This 76-nucleotide transfer RNA is filed under the name bacterium. RNAcentral describes it as "tRNA-Ala". It matches the Rfam family "tRNA". Rfam says of the family: Transfer RNA (tRNA) molecules are approximately 80 nucleotides in length. Their secondary structure includes four short double-helical elements and three loops (D, anti-codon, and T loops). The record is from RNAcentral. RNAcentral also lists the same sequence under 1 other name.
GGGGGUGUAGCUCAGUUGGGAGAGCAUCUGCCUUGCACGCAGAAGGUCGCAGGUUCGAUCCCUGUCACCUCCACCA